AGUGAACGCUGGCGGUAGGCCUAGCACAUGCAAGUCGAACGGCAGCACAGUAAGAGCUUGCUCUUACGGGUGGCGAGUGGCGGACGGGUGAGGAAUACAUCGGAAUCUACUUUUUCGUGGGGGAUAAUGUAGGGAAACUUACGCUAAUACCGCAUACGACCUACGGGUGAAAGCAGGGGAUCUUCGGACCUUGCGCGAUUGAAUGAGCCGAUGUCGGAUUAGCUAGUUGGCGGGGUAAAGGCCCACCAAGGCGACGAUCCGUAGCUGGUCUGAGAGGAUGAUCAGCCACACUGGAACUGAGACACGGUCCAGACUCCUACGGGAGGCAGCAGUGGGGAAUAUUGGACAAUGGGCGCAAGCCUGAUCCAGCCAUACCGCGUGGGUGAAGAAGGCCUUCGGGUUGUAAAGCCCUUUUGUUGGGAAAGAAAAGCAGCAGGUUAAUACCCCGCUGUUCUGACGGUACCCAAAGAAUAAGCACCGGCUAACUUCGUG
This 492-nucleotide ribosomal RNA is filed under the name uncultured bacterium. Its description in RNAcentral is "partial 16S ribosomal RNA". It matches the Rfam family "Bacterial small subunit ribosomal RNA", at positions 29 to 507 of the family's 1533-position model. The record is from RNAcentral.